Molecule: unclassified non-coding RNA, 224 nt
Filed under: plant metagenome
Description: partial contains small subunit ribosomal RNA, internal transcribed spacer 1, and 5.8S ribosomal RNA
Source: RNAcentral
UUUCCGUAGGUGAACCUGCGGAAGGAUCAUUAGUGAAUUGAAUAUGUUAGCGGACCUCUUCGGAGUCCCUAGCAUCAAAUCAUAUCCAUAACACCUGUGAACUGUAAGGCUGUCUUGAAAACGAAAGUGAUUAGAGCGCCUGCCUAUUUUAUACAAACAUUAAAGUAACAAACGUAGUCUUAUUAUAAUCAAUACAACUUUCAACAACGGAUCUCUUGGCUCUC